This 908-nucleotide long non-coding RNA is filed under the name Malus domestica (apple). RNAcentral's name for it is "long non-coding RNA (MDOM_LNC015482)". The record is from RNAcentral. Lineage: Eukaryota; Viridiplantae; Streptophyta; Magnoliopsida; Rosales; Rosaceae.
GCAGCUUGCCCUACACUAGCUAGCUGCUAGCAUGUCCAUAUAUUUCACAUGUCUGAUAUACUUCCAACACAAAAAAUAUAAAAAUGGAUACGGUUCACAUAUUUAAAUGUUUGAUACGUAGCGCAUGUUGAGCGUGGGUGCAUAUGAAUCUCAUGAAAUUUGUGGUUUUGAAAUAAUAUUCUUUUACUUAAUUUCCAGAACAAAACAAAAAACAGCUCUUCAUUAUUUUAUUUAUUUAUUUAUUUAUUUUAAAAUGAUAACUAGUGGUAAGACACGGUUAUCUACCAUUUAUGGGCACGAAUAGACUAUAGGGAAUUUUAUUAUUCAGUAUAUAGAAAAAAAAAUACAUAAAAUCCCUAAUUACUCAAUAACCCAAAAUUACCCUCAUUGGAUGAAAACUAUUCAUAAUACAUGUACCUCAUAUUGUUUUUUAUUUAUUUAUAAUAAAUACAAUAUUAUCUACAAUUAAACUUCAGAGGCAUAAUAAUCUGGUUUGACUUCGCCUUUAGCGAAAAUUAAAUUUAAGACCUCUCGCUUACAAGUGAAGAGAAAUACCACUAGACCGUAGUAAAUUAAACUUUAUCUAAAUAAAAUGAAGAAAAAUCAUUUAUUUCUAUCAAAACAAACAAUUUUAUAUGAAAAAUUCAAACACAUACAACUAACAACAAAGUACCAAACUCAAAAGGCAACAAAAUAACGAGUUAAUAGAGCAAAAACUAAAGGGGACAAAAGUUAUACAAAUGACUACAAAAGCCAGCUGGUUAGCAAAUUAAUAUUAACUCAAGCUAACCAAGGCCACAAAAGCCACAUAUCAACCAUAACCCCUAAAGCUAAAGCAACCCAUAAGCCUAAAUAAGGACUGCCUGUCACCAGUACUAAGACUAAGAGCAUAUAUUCUCCCUUAUAAU